GGAGGGGUCGCAUAGAGGCCUAGUGCGGGCGCCUGCUAAGCGCUUAGGAGGGUUAUACCCUUCUCAUGGGUUCGAAUCCCAUUCCCUCCGCCG
RNAcentral lists this transfer RNA (93 nucleotides) under Chloroflexota bacterium. RNAcentral describes it as "tRNA-Ser". It matches the Rfam family "tRNA". Rfam says of the family: Transfer RNA (tRNA) molecules are approximately 80 nucleotides in length. Their secondary structure includes four short double-helical elements and three loops (D, anti-codon, and T loops). Further hydrogen bonds mediate the characteristic L-shaped molecular structure. tRNAs have two regions of fundamental functional importance: the anti-codon, which is responsible for specific mRNA codon recognition, and the 3' end, to which the tRNAs corresponding amino acid is attached (by aminoacyl-tRNA synthetases). tRNAs cope with the degeneracy of the genetic code in two manners: having more than one tRNA (with a specific anti-codon) for a particular amino acid; and 'wobble' base-pairing, i.e. permitting non-standard base-pairing at the 3rd anti-codon position. The record is from RNAcentral. Lineage: Bacteria; Bacillati; Chloroflexota.